GACGAACGCUGGCGGCGUGCCUAAUACAUGCAAGUAGAACGCUGAAGGAGGAGCUUGCUUCUCUGGAUGAGUUGCGAACGGGUGAGUAACGCGUAGGUAACCUGCCUGGUAGCGGGGGAUAACUAUUGGAAACGAUAGCUAAUACCGCAUAAUAGCAGUUGUUGCAUGACAACUGUUUGAAAGGUGCAAUUGCACCACUACCAGAUGGACCUGCGUUGUAUUAGCUAGUUGGUGGGGUAACGGCUCACCAAGGCGACGAUACAUAGCCGACCUGAGAGGGUGAUCGGCCACACUGGGACUGAGACACGGCCCAGACUCCUACGGGAGGCAGCAGUAGGGAAUCUUCGGCAAUGGACGGAAGUCUGACCGAGCAACGCCGCGUGAGUGAAGAAGGUUUUCGGAUCGUAAAGCUCUGUUGUAAGAGAAGAACGAGUGUGAGAGUGGAAAGUUCACACUGUGACGGGAUCUUACCAGAAAGGGACGGCUAACUACGU
Molecule: ribosomal RNA, 494 nt
Filed under: uncultured bacterium
Lineage: Bacteria
Description: partial 16S ribosomal RNA
Rfam family: Bacterial small subunit ribosomal RNA
Source: RNAcentral